CCGGCGACCGGCGCACGGGUGAGUAACACGUAUGCAACCUGGCCGUGACAGAUGGAUAACAGGGAGAAAUCCCGCCUAAUACAACAUAAUGCCGGGAGGGGACAUCCCCUGCCGGCCAAAGGGGGCGACCCCGGUCACGGAUGGGCAUGCGGCGCAUUAGGUAGUUGGUGGGGCAACGGCCCACCAAGCCGACGAUGCGUAGGGGUUCUGAGAGGAAGGUCCCCCACAUUGGAACUGAGACACGGUCCAAACUCCUACGGAAGGCAGCAG
RNAcentral lists this ribosomal RNA (270 nucleotides) under uncultured bacterium. RNAcentral's name for it is "partial 16S ribosomal RNA". It matches the Rfam family "Bacterial small subunit ribosomal RNA", at positions 88 to 354 of the family's 1533-position model. The record is from RNAcentral.